Non-coding RNA from Rattus norvegicus (Norway rat), 24602 nucleotides. The record is from RefSeq and is a predicted model, not a curated record. NCBI's taxonomy places the organism in Eukaryota, Metazoa, Chordata, Mammalia, Rodentia, Muridae.
UCACUGCUCUGCCUGUCCCCACCUGCUGUUUGACGGUGGCUUUGUGUGGCGUUCAAAGAACCUUCUCAGCCUAGGGCUGUCGCUGAGGGGGAGAGGGGUCGCUUGGCAUCCAUGGUUCUAGUCUCAGCAGUGCAAAACAAGCAAGCAAGCAAACAAACAAAAUGGAUCUCAUAUUGUAUCUGUAAGGCAUAGAUGAGAAAUGGCCACUUUGGUGUUAAAAACAGUCUGGGUAGCUGGCUAGUGUUUAAAUAAUGAACGGUGGAAGAAAGAAUCAUAUCCUUGUAGCUUGGAAACAUUCUGUUCUUCACAGCAUGGUGUCAUCAUCAUCAUCAUCAUCAUCAUCCAUGACAAGGACUUUGCAGAAUCGUAGACAUUUUUAGAUAGAUAAAAAACCUUGGAGGAUAUUUUAACUCUUAUCACUCUGAGGACAGACGCCAUCCUCAUCCAGAGUUAUUAGUGAGAACCACAAAGGCUUUGUCAUGGGGUCUUGUUUAUCCCCUAAAAAGUGUCUAGAGCACUAACCUCUGAUCUGUGGGCCACACCUGCAUUUUGGAGGCGGGUGGCAUGCCUCUGAGAGGAGAAAGCAGGAGACGUAGAAAAACUGUGAUCGAUCCAUCAGGACUUAGCCUGUCUCCAGGAGAGGCAGUGUUAAAUUUCCUACCCACUCAGGUUAACUGGGUCUUCCUUUGGGAAGCAUUUCAUGCCCUCUUUUUAGUCGAUCAACUCCCGGUAUCCCUUUGUGUGUCUGAGAGCUUGCUCCAUUCACCCCACUGAGCCUCAAGGGCUAUGAUUGUGCAGGGAGGUGUCCUCCUUAAACUGUGUCUCCCGAGCAUGUGUCUAGCAAGUCUCUAGCACUUGGUUGGGAAGAGCAGAAACCUCCCGGUCCACACUCUUUUGGGAAGUCAGUGACUUUGAGCACAUGAUUGUCUCCUAGAGCAGACAGGGCAGAAGAGGGGUCUGAGAGUCGAGUGUUUGAUUUGUUCAUUCCGGUCAUUUGGUUAAUUUUUCAGAGGCCAGUAGCCAAGGCAGAGGACCUUCCACGUGGUCCUUGGGUGGUAGGGGUGGUCCAGCACAGUGUCUUAUAGCCAUGGUUAUGAUGGUAUGACUUUAGAUCCAGAGGGAUGCUGCUUAAUAGUCAUUCAGAGGUGUGCAUAACAUAAAUUCAUCCUAUUUGUGUUUAAAACUACCCUGUCCAUCACACCAGGUACCAUCACUAAGGAUAGGGUGUUCUUAUUUCAUGAUCUUUGCGGUUGAAGUCUACUCUGUAAAGGGAAUGCACAGUAACUGUGUUCUGAAAAUUGUCUAACAUUUCAUGUGCUUUGAAUCUUUCUCCUAGGUUUCGUUUGAGUAACUCACCAGUUUAGACUAGCUAGUGACUUUUACACAUACUUUCAGACACAGCGCCUCAAUCAACUCAUUUGUGGAGAGCUUUUGAAAACCAAAUUUAUGCUGGCAGGUAGUGGCCCAUGCCUUUGAUCCCCAAGGUCAGCCUGGUCUACAGAGUAAGUUCCAAGGACAGCCAGGGCUACACAGAGAAACUCUUGUCUUAAGGGGUGAGGUGGGGAAAGAAGGAAGGAAGGAAGGAAGGAAGGAAGGAAGGAAGGAAGGAAGGAAGGAAGGCCGGCCAAAUUUAUUAGUUAAAUUUCUGAUCACCAAUACUUGACUGGAAGGAACUUAGGGAAGGAGUUUACUUGGCCCUACAGUUGAGAGGGUGCAGUCCAUCCUGGUGAGGACGGCCCUGGGGGUGGGAACAGCUUAAGGCUGGAGCAGUAGUUUGAGGUGCCUGGUGUCUGCAGUCAGGAAGCCAGAGCCAGGACCCAGACUGCCCCAGCAGCCCUAUGUCUGCUAUCUAGACCUCAUGUCCAGAAGGUUCCACACCCAGUCAGAAGAGCACCACUCCCGACUGUCUAAAUAAAUGAGUCUGGGAGGGGGAGUCUCUUCCCUUUCAAAACCAUAACACCAAAGUAUUUAAAACCCUAUAAAUUUAUAUGAGUACAAAUAUGUGUUUGUGCUUAGCACCGAUACCUGAGGAGUUAGAUCCAUGGUUCUCAACCUUUCCAGUGCUGUGGCCCUUUGAUACAGUUCACCAUGUUGUGGUGACCCCAACCAUAAAAUUAUUUCACUUGCACUUCACAACUGUGAUUUUGCUACUGUUACGAAUCGUAGUGUAAAUAUUUUUAGAGAUUGAGGCUUACCAAAGGGGUUGUGACCACAGGUUGGGAAUGGUUAGAUUAGCGGGAAGAGCCAUGGGAGCUUUGCCCUUCCUUGCUCAGGCUCCAGAAAGAUACUACCAAGGAUUGAUUUUGUCCUGUUUGUACAAGGCAUAAAUAAAGCUGCUUCUGACAGGUCUUACCUCCUUAUCUUACUUUUCUUUUAAAAUUAACCAAAGCGAUUGAGGUCCUUCCAUCUCCCUUGACUUCCUUCAUUUCCUGGUUCACAUCCCUGCAGGAGCCUGCGGUAUUGACCUUGGGACUGCAGGAGCCUGUGGUGUUGACCUUGGGACAGCUGUUGAGGGAUUGACUCCUGGCGUGGUAGAAGGGCCCUGGUCUGUUCUUACGGGGCAUCAGCCUGAGCUCAUGGCAUCAGCACAGAGCUCCCUAUUACUGACCAGUGUCCAGACCUUCUGCCAGCACAGCCUGCUUUCGGAGGGUGCAGGAUGCCUAGGUUAAAGGCAGGACCGAUAUUUGUCUAGAGUUAGCCUUGGCUUGAAAAGGUAGACGGGAAAGACAAGUUCUCCAGGAAGCACCUACGUCCAAGACCUUUCUCUUGGUUACAGAAGCAUCCCCUUCCAGAGUAGGUUGGAACAUUGUUUAAGGAGUGUAAUUCUGAACACACAAACUCCCUCUAACUUGAAUGUGACAAAUGAUUUGGGACCAAGGAAUUCAGUUCCCCUUAGGUUUUGGGUUUUUGUUGUUGUUGUUUUGUCUUGUUUUUUAACCAGUGUCUUCCCUCUGAUUACAUUCUGGUCUGUGUUCAUGCCAUUUUAGCAAACUGAUCUCACACAGAUUUGUCCAUGUGUGGCAUUCAGCACCUCUCAGAUGUGUCCUGCCAUCAGACCCUCUCAAUGACAUGGAGGACAAACUCAUUUUUUCCUGUCAUCUUUAAGGACUGGGAAGCUGGGCAUGAGACUAAGCCAGGCUAACAGUUGAGAGUGGGUCCCUUCUUGUCCCUGGGGAGAAGUGGAGAAGGAGUGUUCUCAGGGUAAAGGGGAGAGCAGAACAGCAGGAGGCUAGCCCAGGGGAGGAUUGUUAGCAGAGUACCCCUGCCUGCCAGUGGCCUUCAGUUCCUGCGUGUCUAUUUCUAAUCUUUCUGGUGGAAGCUGCCAUCCUCUGAUGAUCUUUCCCUGAGCCACAUUUCCGGAAUGGCUUCACUUGUGUUUGAAGCCGAGGGUGGGUAGGAAAUGGCUAUUGUGGGUAAAAAACUUCUCCUGGGACUUUGAAGAUUUUUUUCAUAGGAGGAAGCCAUCUCCAGGCUCCACAAACAGUCGCCUCUGCUGGAAGGUGCAGGUAGCUCGUUCACAGUGCCAGCAUCGCCCAGUAGCCGACUCUGGCAGCUGCUUAGGACUAUCCCGCACAUCCAAACAGAGCCUCUUACCCAGAUAGGCAAGGAGCAGAUGAAAGGCGGGCAUUCAAAGUAAAGAGUCAGAGGGUUUCUCCUCCUCUUAGCAUUAGAGUCAGCUUCUAAGUCUGAUUUAAAUAAUUGACCUGAAGGUACAUCACAGAGGCUCCUGUGAUGUUUGGAGGAGGGCUGCUAGCCUAGAUGAUGCAUAUCCUAUUCACUUAGCAACGUGUGGUCAAUAUUUACCUAGCAAUUCAAGUAGUGUUUGCUUUUAGUGAAACAAGCAGGCCAAAGCUCAGUGAGGAGCAAUGAGAAGACUCUGGAGGGUGAUUGAGAUCUCCAUUUUCCUCAGAAUAAAAAAUUCAGAGAACAAAGCACACAAAAACAUCCAUAAUUCUUCUAAUCUAAUUGCUGUUUGAAUGAGCGUCUCUGGGCUCUUGUGUAUAUUUGCCCUCAACUAAAUCAGGAUGAUAUAAUGUCUCUGUCAGUCUGUCCAUCUGUUUCUCCCUUCCUCGCCCACCCACAGUGUGUGUGUGUGUGAGUGUGUGUGUGUGUGUGUGUGCGCGUGCGCGUGCGCGCGCACGUACGUGGGCAUGUUGCGGGGGAAUUGACCUCUAUGUGCUAGGCAAGUCCUUUACCACUGAGCCAGAGACAUACAUUGUGGUCCCAAAUGGUAACUUGUUUAAACUGUGGCACUGCCAUGCUGUUACCUACCCUCUGGCUUGUGGGUAAGUUUUCUUGUCUAUCAUUAAGCUAAAUCCUUGGUUUAUGAGCCUGGGUCUGAUACUACCAGCUCACGCUGGCCUUGAACCUAAUGUGUACCCCAGUGUUCACUAUCUCGCACCAUCCUUCCAAGUGCUCAGAUUAUAAGGAUAUAAAGAAAUGUAAACUAGGGUUCAAGCCUCGGUCCAGGGACCCCAGACAAAGUGUAGCCCCUCUGAGCGUACUUCCUUCUACUCCCAGGGACCAAGCAGACCUCUCUCUCUCACUCCUUAGCAUGAACCUCCUGUGGUCCUGGCACCCCUGCUCUCAAUCCCCAGAAAACAGAAUAUGCCGGAGACAGAGGACAGUCCUGUGUCCAAGGGGAAUGGGGAAGCUAGGCAAAGUUUCUUAGACUCUGGUGCAGUUUAAGAUUUUGUUAUGAAUUAUUUUAGUGGGCUGGGGAGAAUGUAGCACAAGGAAAUAUGCUAAGCAGGGGGAGGGGGAGGCUUCAUCUGUCUGUCUGUCCUCUCUGACCCCUGCUGUGGAACAAGCAGACACUGUUUCUCCUUUUAGUACUUUAGGGGUAACCAUUUGCAUGUAGUAAAGUAUAAGACCCUGAGUCUACAGCACAGUACCCUCGUGUUUGACUUAUAAGCACCACUCCCUUGAGCUUUUAUGAGAGUGUCCCACAUUGCCUCCCUGCCUCUGACCCACCCAGUUGUCAUAAUAGUACUCGGGUUGGCUUCCUCAAGCCGGUCAUCACUCAAGCCCAAACUUACUUGUCCAUCCUCAUCUCUGACAACACUCUCGUAGCCCAGGAAGGGCCUGCCCACAAGACUGUCAUCCACCAUCUUUGGAUGAGUGUGUGUGAGAGGUGUGUGUGUGUGUGUAUGUGUGUGUGUGUGUCUGUGGGUGGGUGUGUGUCUGUGGGUGGGUGUGUGUCUGUGGGGGUGUGUGUGUCUGUGUGUGUGUGCACACGAACGUGCUUAUACUCUUGCUUCUCUGUGCAUAUGGAGGCCAAAUGUCAAUAUCCAGUGUCUUCCUUGGUCACUCUCCACCUUUAUUUUUUGAGACCGAUGUCUUGCUGAAUCUGGAGUUUUAUCAAUUCAGCUAGGCUGCUUGACCAACAAUCACUAGAAUCAACUGGUCCUGGUCCCUCACUGCAUGCCGCCCCACCCCACCCCACCCCCACCUCUAAUGGGUUAUGGCCGCUUCCGUGACUUGGCUUUUGUGUGGAUGUAGGGGAUCCAAACUGAAGUCCUUAGGCUUGUAUGACAGGCUCUUGACACACUGAGUUGCCUCCCUAUUAUAUAUUAUAACUAUAUAUUAACUAAAUAGCUAUUAUUAUAACUAUUUAUAACUACAUAAAGCAAAAUAACUCUUAUAACAAAAUCAUAAGCUUUAUCAGAGUCCAAAAAAGAAAGCCCGUUCUUAUCUUACCCACUCCCUUUUAGCCAGAAUGAGCCCUUCCCCUGUGUCCAGCAGACAGCUUCUGUCUCCAUUGGGUGCUUCUCAUCUGCUUUGUGAGAAUUUGCCUUCAUCUCUCUGCUGGAGGAUAUGCACCCCAGGUAGAGUGCCACAUGCCUGACAAGACGGAGCAGGACUCCUGGGGUUUCUCAGCCUUAAGUCUGGUUCAUUCUGUCUUUCAUUUUACCCAUAAGCAAGUGUAGGUGAGAGAUGUUUAGAUUUUGGCAAAUGCCAUCUGUGUUAGCCAAGAGAAACCAACAAACUUCAUUAGCUCCAGUUGGUUCAGCGACCCCCGGUGGGGGUCAGUUGUCCCUUUAGCACUGACAAAGCUGUUUGUCAAGAAGGCCCUGACCUGUCUCUGGAAGAUGUGUUUUGUUAAAUGAGUUUUCUGGUCUUAAAUUAGUCGGGGAAACCCCAGAUGCCUAAUUGUUCCCAGGCUCUCCCUGGGGCCCUGGCUGGUCUCUGCUGGCAGGUGCUGUUGGAAAGUGAACAGGGGCAGCAGGUGGCACUUAUUGUUACAAUGUGUACCUUUCCCUGUGGGAAACCAGGCUGUGCCUUCUCACUUACUGGCGGGCAUGUCUGUGCGUGUGUGUUCUAGCUGAAGAUGAAGGGAUUUAGGGGAAGCAUGCCAGACAGACAGACAAGCGUGCAAUAGAGCUGCUCUCUUCACUGGAUGUAAGAGACAGCUAGGUUCCCCUUUCAGAUCUAGUAAGGGAAGGCAAUGUGACCAAGUCCUAGCCAUGUGUAUGGCUUCCUCAGAGACAAAAAUAGAAUGGCUUUCUCCUGCCACCAGCUGUCACCUGUGCUACCUAGAACUGAGUGUUAUUAUUCACAGUGGGUUUGAGAAAUGCCCAAAACUUGACGUGAUGUUCACACCCAUUCUAACACCAUGCCAAGCACAACAGUUGGCUGUCCUGCGCCCUCGUGUCCUCUCGGAACACUGCUUCGGGGAAGCCACAUCACAGUCACAAGCUGACGGCCAAGGCCUGGUGGUUCUUCAGGAGAUCACCUUGGGUCACCACUGGUUUUCCCCAUUGCUCUCCCUCAGCAGAGCUCAGGCCCUGAGCAGCCAGGCUCCCACUGAAUCAUUCUCAGCCCUAGUUAGCCUGUGGUUUUAGUUCCUUGCCAUGGUCAUCUCGUUGCUGACUCUAAACAUUAGAGGAUCUCCUUCUUCGGACUUAGCUGUUGGCUGGGGAUAGGGGGUGGGGGGCUCUUAAGUCAGUAAAGAUGUUUACAUUGUAGACAUUUUGUAGAGGCAUUUUUGAAAAUUGAUUUCAUUGUGACUAGGACUGUGGCUAUUCUCCUCCUACACACUGGCUCACUUUCUUCAAUAUUCCUAAUGAGGCAGAGAAAAACUGCUUUUCAUUUUUCUCUCAAACAAUAUUGAUUCUUAGUGGAGAUUUCAUUAUCUGUGUCUGUCUGUCUGUCUACGUGAAGGUAUGGUGGUCAUGUACAAGUACCCAACAGAGGUCAAGAGGGGCCACCAGAGCCGUUCGAGCUGAAGUUACAGGCGUCUGAAAGCCUCGGGGAUGGUGCUGGGAACUGGACCUCUGGAAGAACAGCGGGUGUUUACCACUCCAGCACCCUCGAGCCCUUAACCCCCUUUCUGUAUUGUCAUUUACAUCUCCUCCUAAAAGAAAACAGCUCUUUUCCUUUACCCACCACAAAAAAACCCUAGUUCUAUAUUAUAUAUUUACUGUGUUUGAUAGAAAUAUGCAAGAUAAAGGCAUUUUUGCCCUAGCGUGCCAAGGAACUUUUAAAUAACUAGAAACACCUUACCAGAACCCCGCACACACACGCAUUCAGAUGUCCCUGGUAGAGAACACGAAGUUCUUGUCUCUAUCAAAAGAAUGGAGGACUCUACUCUCUUGCGGUUUUCCUCCUGCCUGUUUUAUAAGACCCUUUCUUUGCAUUGCCAGUGCCAAAGCCAGGGCUAGCCUGCCGUUCCCUAUGCCAGCCUGCUACCCCUGGACUAGCCUGCCACUCCUAUGCCAGCCUGCAAACCCUGGGCUAGCUACUCCUAGGUCAAGUUCUGCCACCAGCAUAACUCAUUUAUGGGGAGUUAAAGCUGGAAAGAAUUUCAUUAUCUUGGGCUUAAAUUCCGCUUAGUUCCCUCUUGUUCACCCACAUUCCAGAUCAGAUUUAAAUCCUUCCAUCCUCUACUGAACACUAAAGCUUUGUCCUUUUCAGGGGAUAAACUAAUUGCCAGGAAUCUUUAUUUCAUUGACCUGAUUUUAUCCAUUCUAAGAGCUGUACAAAUAUUUCCAUAGAUGCUCUAAGAGGCUCUUCGGCGUCCCGAUGUGCUUAUUACUUAGCCCUUCAGAGCAUUGUACCUAGAAAACUUGAAGAUGAGACACUCAAGCCGUCUUUCUUGGCAUUGAAUGCUGAUGGGCAGCCUUAGUUGAGGCUGCUUCACCUGAACAUUGCUUCUACUCGCAGUUCAAAGAAUUGUUAUCACAACCAUACUGUCAAGGCAAACAAAACAAACAAACAAACAAAUUGACCCUGGGAUAUAGGCCAUUGUUACAAGGUCAACCAGAUGUCCUAGCUUGCCCAGGGUUGGCAGGUGUAUAGCAGACAUGGGCCUUUUUUUUUUUUGAGAUAGAGUCACACUAUGUAGCUUUGGUUGGCCUAGAACUUACUAUGUAGACCAGGCUCGUCUUGACCUCACAGAGACCUACCUACCCCUGGUUCCUUAGUGAUGGGACUAAAGGUGUGCACCAGAAUGCCCAGUGACAUGGGACUUCCUAUGCUAAUACUGAGGGAGUCUCAGACAAGCAGGAUGUGUUGACCACACCAUUUCUCACCAUCUGCUUCUGCCAUAUAGCGAGGCUGUUUGUUUUCUGAGUGAGUGAGUGAGUAUGCAUUUGAAGUUGAUAAUUACUUUGCCAGUAACUAGCUCAUAUUUUACUCUUGGAUAUUCAUCCUCCUUCUCUAUGUGUACCCUAAUGUAGAUAUUUACCCCAGGAACAGGCUGGCCAUGACAGGAAGGAGAGCACCACUAUCCUUGAAGCAUCUUACCUUGCUUGAGUCAAUCAAGGAGCCUGCUGUAGAAUUCACCUGUGUUCUCUACCUGAGAUCCAGAUCAUAGCUUCUUGUAAAGAUUCUAUUCCUCCUUUCAGAAAUUGCUAAAGCCCAAAUACCUAAAAAGGUUCAGAACUCAGAAUUUUCGUGAUCCCUACAUUUUAUUUAAAUAGGGGCCAUGUCAUUCAUGCCAAAGCAACCAAUGCCAGCUUUCCAAAUGCAUCCCUCUCCUACUUAAUCCCUCCUCCUGAUACCCUGUUCACAAGCCUGAGUAUGUAUGUCAGGACUCCUCAUACCUGAAUGUGCACUUGGGAGGUAGAAGCAAGAGGAUCAGGAGCUCAGGGUCAGCCACAGCCACAUGAGCUCCUGCCUCAGAAGGGGGGAAAUCAAAAGAAACAUCUGCUACAGUGGAUGCCUUUACUCUCUGUCAAACCAAAUGCAAGGGUGGGCCGGAAGGUCCUGCUCCUACUGUAGGUUCCAUUGCUAAGUUACCCUUCUCUCCCAGUCUUCCCAAGUGCUAGCCUCUAUCUUGGAUUCCUGGUCGUCCUUAACUUUCCUUUAUUUACAGUGCUUUCUUUAAGCUUCAUUUACAAGUCUUGCCUGGGACCACAUCUACUUUUCUGGUCCUUUUCAAUAUGCAUUUGCCUGAAAAUUGCUCUGGUAUCCAGAAGCAGACACAGGCCAGCUUUCUAGGAAGCCCUAAAUUGCUAAACAUAGACCAGCGACUUGUGUUCGAUUGAUGCCAUGAAUUUAGUAGUUACCAAUUUUUAUCUUAGUCUGUUCUCAGCGUCUCUCUCCUCGCUACAGUGUGUACUCUACUUCAUACCACAAACUGCGUAUAAGCAAGACAGACAUCAACUCUGAUAAUAUGUCCUAGAGGGUAAAUAAAUAUGAUUUCCAUAUCUCCUGCCAGCAUGUCAUCGGUGAUGAUGAGGCUGAGCGUGCUCCCUUCAGCGUUUGCAUUUUGAAGCCACAGAGAAUGAAGUGGCCAGCGUGGACCCCCGUGUCUUCUGCGGUGGAGACAGCUUUCCUGUACACAGAGCCUUGGGGCAGGGAUGGCUUUGGGAUCAGAAUCUAAAGGUGGUGUAGUACCACUCAGGGGAUCUGUUCUCUAUGGUUUGCAGGGAAAUCCAUCCCUCCUCUAAACUCUGGAAAGUUUCUACUCAUGUAGAGCAUUUAUACUCUCCAGGUUUGGAUGAGGUAUACCUAGGGACAGGUUACUGCUGGGUUAAGAAGCUUUCGUUCUUGUUGUUUGUUUGUUUGUUUGUUGUUGUUGUUGUUGUUGUUGUGGCCACUGAGUCUCCUCAGAGCUCUUCAGUUACCUAUAGUGGCACCCUGCUGUGUCACAAUUAAAUCAUGGAGGUGGGAGAGUCAGGCUUGUGAAACACCCUCAAUCCCCACCCAGGUGAAGGGCUCUGGCUACUUAACUCCCGGGGAUACCCAUUCUGAAAGGUCGUGAUCUGAAACAUUUGGGGAACCAUCUAUGGCCCCCCAGGAAGGAAGCGAUUUCCUAACCACCUUGACUUCCUGUGACAUUCAAGCAACACUAAAAUGACCUUCCAGCAGCCCCUGGACUACUGUGCUCAGUCACACAAACUUGCUCGAUGAUUUCAUACUAUAUGAAAUGAAAGACUUCUAGUAAGCCUUUUAUUUAUAUGUUCAUUGCGUUUAUGUGUGUGUGUGUAUGCAUGCGUGUAUGUAUACAUGUAUGCACACAUGCAAGUGCACACAUGCCAUAGCACACACUCUUGUAAAGGUCAGAAGACAACUUACAGAAAUCAGCUCUCUUAUUCCACCAUCUCGGUUCCAGGAAUUGAACUCGGGCUGCCAGGCUUGGCAGCAAGCACCUUUACCUCCUGAGCCAUUUUGGUAUCCCCAAAUCUUUAUUUUCUUUUUAUUUGAAAUUAUCAGGCCAUAAUAGUGUGGUAUUAUGGUAUCUAUCCUUGGUAUCUAUCCGGUAAUCUACUCUUAGGAUCUGUCCACUCCAUCUACACACCUGUUACAUAAUUCACUCAGGAUGUUCCUUAAAUCUACCUUCACAGUCCAUCAGAGGUCCCUGCAUCCCCUGCGUCCCUUGGGUCCCCUGCAUCUCCUGGAUCCCCUGCAUCCCCUGCAUCCCCUGCAUCUCCUGCAUCCCCUGCUUCCCCUGCCUCUGCGCUCUCUUUCGUCACCCCCACCCCCACCCCCACUUCCUCUAUAUCUGACUCUUCUUUCCCCUGCUCCCUGCUACUGCUCUUAUCUCUGGCCCUUCCCUAAGGGAAGGAUGUAACAAUACCUCUGUGAAUGUGUCUUUUUCAUCUCCAACUGUAUUCUUUUUCUUCCGUUUGAAACAGUGUUUCACUAUGGAGCCCAGACUGCCCUAGGACUCACUAUGUGGCACAAACUGCCCUUGAACUUGAGGCAAUCCUCCUGCCCCAGGCUCCGGAGCAGCUGGGAUUGAGCUGCAGUUUUUUUCAGAGAUUUGAGAACAAAGACCGUUUUAGGGAGUCUGUGUUCCACACAGCUGUUCCUUUGCACAGAAUCAAUUCAUGCUGAUGUUCGUAGAUUUUGGAAGGAACACAAACUAUCAGCAUGAGUAAUUUCAGGCCAGGGAUAAAGGAUUCAAGGGGGAGGAGGGACCUCGGUACCAUGGCAUCUUGGAUGAAGGGCUUUGAGUGAUCUGCAGGCUAGCUUUGCUUCAGAUAGACAGGAAGGUAUUGGAGCAUGCACAGGGGUCAGUGAGGACAGGAACCAGUGUAAACAGUACUCUUGCAAUAACUGGCUUUGUCUUCCAGUCAUGCAUUUCACCGAUCCAGAUUUGUCCUGUGCCUUCAGCCAGCAUCCAGGCUAAGAAGGGUGACUGCCCUGCUGCCCUCACAGGCCCUCAUGCCCCUGUUUCCCAGUGCCGUGGCUGGUCUUUGACCAUUCCUGUAAUUCCCAAAGAUGAACUUCACACUGUUUAUAUAGCGUUUGCACCUGCCACAUAGUCUGCCCCUUGUCCGUUGUGCCCCUUGGUUUUGUUUGUUAAUGAGCUUCUAAUCCCAGUGCUCUGAUCUCCACCAUUGCUUGCUGGCCAGCUUCUGGCCAGGUCGGUCACAUGCAUGGACUGGUGACAACAGCUGUCUGAUUACACCCACGAGUCCCAUGUCUGUAGGGGAAGAAAAGGAGGUCAGAUGACAUGAAUUGCUGCUCUCCCAGAAAGGACAUUGAGCCCAUUCCUCCUGGUGGUGAGAAAGGGAAGCAUGGACCUUGACUCUAGAAGGAACGGUAUCUGUGGACACUGGAAUAGCCUGGGCACUAGAGGGAAAAGCCAGUGUCAAGAGCCUAGAACAGUUGAGAAAGAAAGGCAGAGUUGUUGGCCAUUGGCGGCAGUGUUUUCCUCUGCUUUGGGAGAGGGCUGAGCGGCAGCCAUCCUCCACAGUGGCCUCUUUCAACUGCACUGAAAGCCCCAGCUGCAGCUUUUCCAUCUCCACUUGGCGACUCCCCUGCACUGAGAGCAGCGACUGUUCUCUCAGUCUCCUCUGUAUGUGUCUCGCUUCCCAUGGGCUUUUUUGUUCAUCUUUUCACCUUUAAAAACAAGACAAAACAGGGUCCCAGUAUUCAGCCCACACUGGCCUGGCAUCUGCAGUCCUCCUGCCUCAGCCUCCCAAGCACUGUGAUGACACAGAGUCCCCCUGCCCCCACCCACCCACCCCGCCACACACACACCCAGCUCGUUUCAUUCUCUCUUCCCAGGUUUAAAGGAGUUUUCUCUAGCACUGGGUUAGCUGCUAAGCAGACCUCAAACACUUCGCCCAUCGUCUCCUUACAAAUGUUGCCAUUCUUCUGCUUUGCCAGUGCUGCAGUGCAUCACUUAGCAUUUACACAUGCUGGUGUCAGAUAAACUAGAAACGGACUUGUGGGGUCGAAAGGGACUUCUCUAGGAAAAUUUACCAGUGGCUGCCUUCCUGCCGCUCCCACCAGCACCAUGUGAAGAGGCCAGCUAUGCCCAAACACAGAGCACUGAGGACUCUGGGUCUUGUAUUUGCCAAGGGAGCGGGUGAAACAUAUUCUCUCUCUGUGGUUUUCAUUUGUACUCUUUUGAAAAGAACAUUAUAAUAAUGCAUUUAAGAGCUUCUUUUUGCAUCCCUUCCUGCUGGUAGCCUCCGGCCAAUGCCUUAAUGGUCAUUGGCCAGUUCUGAUCAUUUUCAAGAGCUCCAGAUAGAUCAGGGAAAUUAGGCCUAUGUCAUGGGAGUUGCAAAUAUUUGUUCCUGGUUUGUCCUUUGCCUUUAGACUUUACAUGUGGCAUUUGCCAUGCAGAAUUUUGUAAUGUGUGCAUAGUCAAAUUUUUCAAUAGCUUCUUUUGCACUUUGUAGACUUUCUGUUUUUCCUAGAAGGGUAAUCCUUUCUAAGAAAGAAAUCCUGUGCUGCAGAUUAUUUUUUUAUUUGAAUUUCUUUUAGAACAUGCAUGAUUUUAUUUUAUUUUAAAAUGCUUGGUCCUUCUGAUUUCCUCUUGCCAUGUGGUGCGACUCCAGCUUAUGUUGUUCUAGGUGGCUGUCCUCCUUCACCCAGCAGCGUUUAGUGAACAGCCGGCUUUUAUCUCAUUUAUUCAGGACUGUCUUUCUCUCCCCUAGACUUCCUGUACUUAGGAGCAGUCGGUGAUCCUGAGCCCACAGUGUCUGUUUAACUGUGUUUUCCUGUGGGGAUGCGGGCAGUGCCAGAAUGACCUGUCUGUUAUACUUCUUUUGCCUAAUUUUACUGGCUCUUCAGUGGGGCAUUUCCUCAAAUGAGCGUUUAAAUGCUUUGUCCCAAAUACAAAAAUCCUAUUGUUUUGCUCGUGCAUCUGUCAGUGUGCAGAUGAUUUGUGAGGAACAGCACGCUUGUGGUGCAGAUGGCUCCAGUACACACUCCUUUGCCCAGGCCCCUUGAGCCCUAGAGAGUACUCAGAGUCUGCCUUCCUAUUCUCCACCUCGUGAUGUGAACUCCCUAGGAGCAAGAAGAGAGUCAGGUUCUGCAUGGCUUCUUAAUAAUAAUCUAUAUAAUUAUUGACAAAAGAAGCAUGGUUUUUUUUUUAUUCAAUACUGUAAGAGCAUGUCUUUUGUCUAAUAUGUCAUUCUUUCAGGUUUUAUUUUUCUGUACACUGAAGGAAGGCACCAUGCAGUACCAAGUACUGAUGGCAACUAUUAAAAUUUAAUUCUUGCAAGCAUCUUUUAACUACCCCCCCCCUUAUUUCUGUUUUAUGUGUAAAAUAGAAAUAUCUUAUCUGCCUGUGUGUCAGUAUGUGCAUGUGCACCUUACAUGUGCAGUACCCCAAAAUGCCAGAAGGAGGUGCCAGAUUACUGGGACUGGAGCUACAUUCAAUUGUGAGCCACCGAGUGCAUGCUGGGAAUCGAACCUGGGUCAUCUGGAAGAGCAGCCAGUGCUUUUAGCUGCUGAGCCAUCUCUCCAGCCCCAUCUCAAAGUCAUCUUAUAAUUGAAGUGCUGGUAAAAAGAGCAGUCUGUAGAUAACCCAGCAGUUUCACGUGUAGGUGUCCCAGUUGACCCAACUCGGAAUAAUGGCAGAGGGGAUGGGACUGUCCACUUCCUAUUUCCCUCUCUUCAAAGCCUGGCACAGACGUGGUAUUGGGCUGGGAAGCAGCCAAAGGCAACACUGAAUUGCACAGAGACUGAGCCAUGCCACUUUGUGUGUGUCCUCCAGAAAGGAAGUCAUCGGAGAACAUGAGGACACAGCAAAGGUGUGCUGUGUCAGCAUGUGCCCUGUUUGGCCAGGACAGGCAGGUUAACUUUUUGUUUUGUUUUGUUUUGUUUUGUUUUGUUUUGUUUUUUCCAGAGCUGGGGACCGAACCCAGGGCCUUGCGCUUGCUAGGCAAGAGCUCUACCACUGAGCUAAAUCCCCAACCCUUUUGUUUUGUUUUUAAUCCAUAAUUUUUCAGUGAAAAGGUUUGCCAGGGUGGUGAUGUUUUCCAUGUGAAGACUGAGCACACUGAAUCUGGGGGGCCUGUUUGGCACUUGGGCAGCUGUGUACCUGGAGCUGCAAGGCUCUGCCCAAGGUUAGGCCAGCACCUGUGACUCCCGUUCAUAGGCCUGGUUCCUUAGGGGAUGGACGCCUUUUGUCCAACCCUGGAGCCUGUUAGCAACACCCCCUCUGCUGCCACCCUUAACGGUCAAAAACCAAAGAGACACAUCCAAGAGACAGAGGGGAUUGUGGGGCUCUGGAGCGAGCCAGGAAAUGCAUCUUGUGGGAUCAGAUACAUUUAACAUGUGAAUACAAUCCCAAGGGUUUGAAAGCUUUUUUUCUUUGAACUUAGUGCAGAAAAAUACAGAUGGUUUCAUUUUAAGUGGUUUAACUGUCGUUCGUGGGUCUGUUCUCCCCAACAUUCCUGCUUUAAAGCUUGCCUGUGGCACACAAGGGAUCCCACAGAUGUGCCAGCUCUGCCCAGUGACCCCUUGCUGGGCUUAGAAGCCAGUUGCAAGGACAGAUGAUGAUGUCUAUCUUGCCCUCUCUAGCUCCUCCUCUUUUCAGGUGGAAUCGUUUCUGGGUUGGAAUUUUCCUGUGCUGAAUCCAGCAAAUCCGGAAUAGAACAUUUAGCAAAGUCUGGGGAGAGGGUAAUGAGCAGCAGCUGCCAAGGUCUGCCUUCAGUGGAGCCAUGCUGCACCGGGAGCAUACUCUGAGGUCCCAGGAAUGAGUGUGAGCCAUGCUGUACCAGGAGCACUCUCUGAGGUCCCGGGGAUGAGUAUGAGCCUUGGUGCACUGGAAGCACUCUCUGAGGUCCUGGGGAGGAGUGUGAGCCUUGGUGCACCGGGAGCACUCUCUGAGGUCCUGGGGAGGAGUGUGAGCCAUGCUGUACCAGGAGCACUCUCUGAGGUCCUGGGGAGGAGUGUUUGGAAAGCUCCUCAGAGGUAGAAGGCCAAGGCAUUUGUUCUAAAACUCAGGACAGACUGUGUCCUCAUACCAGCUGUUCUGCCCUGGAGGACUGGAGAGAUGUCCCCCCAGGGCCUCCUGAAAAGAAAGGGCUUCUGGAGGCCUGUCUGUGACUCUAAAGACCUAAUAUUGACCUGGUCAGGCUGGGAAAGAGGAACCCAGAGAAGGAAUCUGGGUUUAGAUUCAACCAGAGUCCUGGGUUUCAGACUUGGGUAACUAGAAAGGGGAGACUCUGGUCUGAUAAAAAUCCCUAAGUGUGUGUGUGCCACAUACACAGAGACAGACAGACAGACAGUUCAACUUUGCCACCUCAACAAAGCAUUGUUACUGUGUGCCCCACCCCAGCCAGCAAUAAAAAAAGUGCUUCCCCAAAGCAGACACCUGCCACUUUUCUGGAAGUGCCUCUGUCUGUCUCUCCCAUUACUUUCUGAGGUCUCAUUAUCUUUGGAGAGAGACCCAGUAUGAUUUUAUUAACAUUCUGCCCUCAUUUCAAAUAUCCCCAAAUGUGAAUAUUGAAAUAAUUACCAUGCCAACUACACUGCCAUUCAAAAGACAAUUUUAGUUGUAGAAAACAUGAGACCAAAGAAAUGACUUUCUGUCGACUGCACGGGCAAACACCAAAGAGAGCCCCAGCAAACUCAAUUAGCACUUUGGAGACAUAUGGUUUCAAAAUGCAUCUUGACAGUUGAUUAAUGGCUUGUUGCUAAUUUAACUUCCAGUUGGGGGUGGGCGUGGGGUUAGUGAGUCUUAAAAGUGUAAAGUAACAGGAAAAGUCGUAGCUUAAGUCACCUGCCCGUACUCCUCCCCAUCUAUAAAACUGGACGAUAUCGCCGUUCAAAAUUGUGGGGAAGCCUAAAUUCUGAGCAUGCUUUGUCCAGGCUGUGGCAGGGUGCUCAGGCGUCCUGACUCCAGACUCCAUCUUGAACCGGUGACUCCUUACCCACAAGGCCACACGCUACAAGGCUACAUGCCGUCAUGCCUUGCUGUCUGCUUCUGGGACCCUAGUGCCCACCGUUCUUUCUCUAUGACAGCAGCUUCCUGGCACUCCUUGAGUGCCGAGCUCCGUCUCAGGCCCUGCAGGGUAGGCACUGUACCUCGCUUUCUCUGUGGGCUUUGUAGAGCCCACAUUUGUUAAGCUUUAUUGGGCUAACACAGCCAAUAAUCCUGGCUUUGACUUAGUCCCAGCCGCCGACAGUGCAUUCUUAGAUAAGGAUCCCACGUGUCACUGACCUUUAGUCAGAAUAUUUACCUCCUCUGGGGUCACCUGUUUUUUUUUUCCAGAGGCGGAAAAUUUGGUUUUCUUCACCUGAGUGUGUACACAAAGCAGAAUGGACGCCUGCUCUGAGGCAACAUUCUCUUUGGAAACCAAGUGGACAUUAGAGCUUGUUUACCCUGACAGUCCCAACCAACCCCUGACUGGAACCCUCCCUGUCUGGUGUCCCCGCUUCCAGCCAGGGAGAAAUGUCGGCAUCCCUGGAGAAUUAGAUUGUCAGGAGAGGAAUGAAAAAGCCAUGUGAGGGCUGAAGAGAUGAGUCUGCUUAAGAGAGUGUGCUGCUCUGGCUUAGGGCCCCUUUGUCGACAUGGUGGCUCACAACCAUCCAUAACUCCAGCUGGAUCCAACGGCCUCUGACGGAACUAGGUAUGCAUGGUACCCAGACAUACACGUAGGCCAAAUAUACACAUAAAGUAAAAAUAAACACGUCUUAAACGAAUAAACAACAAAGCAAUAGAUACAAUGGAGAGAUCCUUUUUCAUGAUCUCCCCUGCUCUGUGAGUCAUGUGGACUUGAGCUCUGUGGGAGAAGGAAGCCCGCGGGCCAGAGUAGAGUGACAGAGAUGUGUUUGUGGAACUGAACAAAGUCAGGGCCUGUGGUCUCUGGACACUUCCUGGGAGGGGCUGUGGUUUCAGACACUUCCUCUCAGGACCUGCCCAGAGACGCGAGGUGCUGGCACUGGUGCUGACAGUCACCUAAAAAAGAUAGCCAUCCAUUUUGCAUGCUGACCUUUCAAAUCAACCUCAAGGAUGAAUUCCAGAGGCAGCUAUGGGUGCCUGAUGGUCCUGCAGACGCUCAAUGAUGGGUGUCCCUCCUUCCACCCUUAGGCCUUUGAGAUACAGCAGGGGGGUAGAUUAAAAAUGAAUUUCUUACUUCUGAGGAAAAUCACAGUAUUAGCUGUUCCUCGAUGUGCUUUCUAGUACACUGUGUGUGUGUGUGUGUGUGUGUGUGUGUGUGUGUGUGUGUGUGUGUGUGUGUGUGUGUGUUGGGGGGUGUUUCAUGUACAUGUGACUUAAGCAAAUUCAAUUCCAUCAUGAAAGAGAAGGUUGGGGCUAUCACUCGGUGCUAGAGCGCUUCCUUCCCUGCCACCUCGGGUCCUAGGUUGUAUCCCAGGCUCUGCAAAACCAGAAAAAUGAGAGACUGCACGCCGACGGCUUCUUUCUGGGCCCUUCUGCUGGCUUCUCCUUGUAGAGGAGUGUGUCUACAUUGCAUGUGCAUUCCCUCUGGUAGUGCUGGGCCCAUGUCCUCCCCACAGAACAUCUUGUAGCUCCCUCCGAUUUAAAGACUGGUUUCUGUGUUUUCAUUUGUUGCACAACAUGAUCCCAACCUGAAGCCACAAAGCCAUCUGUGCUUAGCUCCAGAUACAGCCAUCUGUCCAGCACUGGAGAACAGUCUGGGCUGCACUUGGAGAAAGAGUGAGUCUGGUUGUGGUAGCACAUGCCUAUAACCCUAACGAUAGGGAGGCUGAGGCAGGAGGAUCGAGAUGCUAUCAGAGAGGAGAUUUCAGGAUGUUGCUGGGUUAUGACUGAUAGUUCACCUUCCAACUGGAUCCCCACGCUGCAACUGAGUGGUGAACCCUUCUUAAAUGCAGAGGGAGCACAGGCAGAGAAAACUGAAGUGAAAGUGGGAGGGAGUCACUCUGCAGUGAGUCCCCUGUCUGGGGACUUGCUGAAGACCAGAACUUGAGUGGAGCAUGUCCUUUCUCCAUGACAUGGCCAGUUCUGGCUUACAUAGCAUAGCCUCUUUUACCAGGUCCUCAGUUAGCUGUUGUCUUGGGGAGGAAGUAACUGCUCUGAUCGUCUUGUGUUUCUGAGAAGGAGAUAGCUUUAAAAAGUCUAGGAAAUGCAUGCGCUGAUUUGUUUGCUUGGGUUUUUGGUGGUGGUUGUUCUUUGUGGGGUGGUGCUGCUGUUGUUGCUGCUGCAAUGCUGGGGUGUAUACCCAGAGCCUUGCGUACGAUAGGGAAGGCCUCUGAAUUAUAGCCCAGUCUCACACGCCACUUUACAGAGGUUUUAAACUAGAGGCUGCUGACCGCGCUGACUAUGACAAACCACAUUUACACCGGUGUUUACCGCUACUGUUGUUACAGGACGAUUAGUGGACUCUCUGAAGAGAAAGUAUCCCCCCACCCCACUACCAAGUCGCCAUCCACAUAAGCACUGCACAGUGCCAGGGCCUCAGGUGAACUCUCCGUUCUACUGUUGCCGUGCAGUCUGGCCGUCCAGGCUUUUAACUCUCGGCCUCAGGGUCCCCAUGGGAAAGCAGGCAGUCCAUUUCACAAAAGUGACAUCAAAACCAAAUGAGAUCAUGCUCAAAGGGACUUUGAAAACCUGCAAGGAGCUGUAGAAAAACAAACAGCUUUACUUACAUGUUCUCUGUUCAGAGAGGAAGGUAAAUAAACACGGGGCGCUUUACAUGUUCUCUGUUCAGAGAGGAAGGUAAAUAAACGCGGGGUUAUAGAGCCAUGAAUAGCAUCUCACACAUCUCUGGCUUCCUUUGUUAAGGGGCUCUUUGUUGAGAAAAAUCCUUAAUGUGUUUUAAGUCACUAAGGGAGAGAGACCCCAGGUCUUGGUCCAGUGACGCCAUUUCUUUGAUGUUGUAAGAUUCUGGUGGUUUUUUCUUGGCGUGAGUCUUAUUCUUGCAGGUGACUAGAGUGUGAUCAGUAUUUUCCUUUAUGUGUUUCAGACUGGCCUCAAACUCACAGCAAUCCUCCUGUCCCAGCCUUCCAGGUACUGGGAUUACAUGUGCCCUGCUCAAUGAUCUUUUUUUUUUUGAUCCAUCACACAUAUUAGGACUGUAACUCCCAGUGUAGUAAGUCUCCUGUGGCUGUUAGUCCCCCACAUCUAAUUCUUAUGUUCAACUGUGGAAGUCAAAAUGUUCGUGUGAACACUAAGAUUCUUAUACCAAUUUUUAGACAACACUAAAUUGUGCCACAUGCAGUCUUAAUUGAUUCUGUUGAGGUGGUUCUUUUUUUUCCCAGUCAUAGCCGCUAUGAGAUGAAUAAGGGGCUGAUAUUUAUCCACUAUUCAUUUUUUAAAAAUAGAGACAGAGACUGAGGGUAGGAAAUAGAGUCAGAAUGGUAGGGUGUUUGACAUCAAUAGCCACAAAGGAAAGUACAUCAAGACAGGAAUGAGAGUCACUUCACACCCGUUAGGAAGGCUCAAUCUUGUUUCUUCCAAUAUUGGAGUGGAGUCCAAAACCUCACACUGCUAGACAAGGGAUCCACUACACAGUUAUACGCCCCCAACCCUUUUAUCCCACAAAACUGCUCAGACUGGUCUUGAACUUAGAUUUUAUUCUAAGGUAGGUGUGUGUGUGUGUGUGUGUGUGUGUGUGUGUGUGUGUGUGUGUGUACACAUGAGUGUAGGAGGCUACACAGACCAGAGCUGUCAGAUCCCUCUAGCCACCCAGGAAUUAAACUCAAGUCCUCUGAAAGAAUGAUGUAUGCUCUUAACCACCAAGCUGUAUCUCCAGCCCCUACAAGGUGACAUUUUUAAUGGAAUGUGACAAGUGCUGGUGAGAAGGCAGAGACAUUGAAGCCCUUGAACGUUGCUGCUAGCAAUAGAAAAUGGUGUAGCUGCUAUGGAGAACAGCUUGGUUCUCAGGCAGUUAAGCAGCGAUUCCAUUUCCAGGUACAGGCCUCAAAGAACUGAAAAGAGGCUUCAAACAGAAGCUUGUCCACAAAUGCUUACAGCAACGCAACUCAGAGCGUCAAAAGGCAUGAAUUACCCGUGCCAGUGAAUGAUGGAUGUGCAAAUGAGCGUGAUAUAGCCAGACAUCCCUCCUUGGGUUUCUUUCCCUCUCUUCCUCCCUUCCUUCCUUCCUUCCUUCCUUCCUUCCUUCCUUCCUUCCUUGGCACACUCUCAAGGCAGAUGUCUUGCACUGCCCCUGGCAUGCAUUCCUUUCUUGAUGUAGCUUACUCAGAGCCAGGUUCCAGAGACUGGAAAAAUGACUUCUCUCCCAGAGGACCUCAGUUUGGUGGUUCGUACCUACCUGUAACUCCAGCUUCAGGGUCUCUUUCUGACCUCCACAGGGACUUGAAUACACGUGGUAUACUCUCUCUCUCUCUCUCUCUCUCUCUCUCUCUCUCUCUCUCUCUCACACACACACACACACACACACACAUAUGUAAACAAAAAUUAGUAAAAAAAAAAUCCCUAUAUGAUGCGCAUCUACAAUGCCCAGAAGUACCUGCUAAUGGGCUUUUGGUUCCCUGGAAAGGACUAGCCAGGGCUUAGGGAUUAGGGGACUCAGUGUCGGGUGGUAUAUCCAGAACACAUAGAGUACAUCAGUGCAGUACACGUACUGCACAUCAAAUCCUGAUCAUUAGAGGUACAAGAGAGUCAAAGGAAAUGACAGGUACACAGUGGAGUAAUUUAAUUUACAACCAACAGACCCAGGUGACAGGGAGAAAAAUUGGUUACACCCUGGAUUAAGGCAAACAUAAGCAAUCAGUCAACUUUAUUUUUCUCAACUCUUUAAAAGUUGUAACCAUUUGCUUGCUCAAACUGCCUAAAGACUGUGUGCGUGUGUAUGGGUGCAUGUGCGUGCGUGCAGUGUGCAUGCCUGGGGGUGUGAGGGCUGGCGGGAAGAUUCAGGUUUUUCCCUCACAAUUCUUCCCAUUGGGCAAUUUUGUUAGGAAAGCCAGAUGUUGAUAUGAUAAGGACAGGCCGGCCUCUAUUUGGUGAUUGUUUCUUAGUAACGAGCCUUUAUUAAGCAUAGGCCUCAGCAGGACAGUGGACAGAGCAGCGAGUAGAAAAGGAGGAGGAAACAUUAUUCCUGCUUUGUUAGAGAUAAACAUGACCAUAUGCUCCAGUUCUUGAGCACAUGCAAAGCAGCGUAGUCAAACUGCACGCUCUGAACCACAGAGAAAGCGGCAAGGCUUCAGUGUGGGCUAUAGAGGAGAUGCGCCAUGUUCUAGAUGCAAGUCGGUGCAAAGGUGUCUGUUAACACCAAAGUGAUAUAUGUCUGAUGUUUUCAACCAAGUCUUCUCAAAGUUUCCCAGGAACUAAACAAGCCCAUCAUAUUAUUUACCUGGAAAGAAAGAAAGAAUCUGCUGGGGAAAUUUUGCAAAAGAAUAGUGAAGGUAACCAGAACUUUUAUCUCUCAAAAUAUCCCAUAAGCUGUAUUGAUUAAAACAGCCAUACUGGCAAAUGACUAGACAGACAGACGAACCCAAAUAGAGAUAGAGAAGCAUAUGUAACCGGGAUAUGUAACCGGGACCGUGGUGUAUAUUACAGGUAAUGGUGGAAGUCAGUCCGGAUGAGUGGAGCAUUUAUUAUUGUCCAAGAAUAACAACCUCAUCUGUUAGGAGGAGAUGAGCUGCGUCUUCAUACCACUUAGAGAAAUAAGUGCAUUUAAGGGAAAUAAGUGCAUUUAAGGGGAAUACGGUUCUUUAAAAACUAACUGUAGGAAUAAGAGGGAAUAGCUGGUAUAAAAAAUAUGUAAAAGUCAAAUUAAACUUUCCUGGGCAUCACGAUACAAACCUGCUGUCCUAGCACUCAAGAGGCUGAGGAAGGAGGAUUGCCAGUUCGGGGCCAGCCUGGGCUAUGUAUUGAGUCCCUGUCUCAAAAACCAAUGAAAAAUGUGAACUUAAACAUACAGUAAUAUAAUAAGAAAACAAUUCUAACAUACAAAUGAUAAUGUUUAAUAUAGCGCUAAUAAAAAUACAAAUUAACAGGGAAAAGUAAAAAUAUAAUAGAAAAUAAACAGCAUAAACAGAAUUCACAGAAGAAAAUAAAUGCAAAUAGUAGGAAACAUGAGUCAGGAAAACACAAAUUGAAAUGAGAAACACUUUUAUGCACCUCCAUGCACACCUGUGGGGGUCAGAGGGCAACUUGCAGUAGCCAUGUAUGUCCUGGGGAUUGAAGUGGGGUCAUCAGGCUUGGCAAAAUAAAAAGCCUUUAACCUCCAAGCCCACUUGGCAUCCCGAUGAACAUUUUUUUUCCGAUGAACAUUUUUUAAAAGCAUAAAUGGAUCAGCCUUAAACAUAUUGAAAUAAGGUGCCCAUUAAAGUGGCCAGAAUGUAAAAGAUUAAUGCCAACUAUUGAUGAGGGUAAAGAAGCCAAACAAGUGCUCUCGUGUAUUAGUGGUAGGGAUAUAAAUUGAUCCAUCGUCUUCGGAAGGCAAUUUGGCUUUAUCCAUAGAAUUGAAACUGCAUUUAUCCUCAAGGUGUGCCUCGUACUUCUCACCUGCUGGGCAGUCGGGCUUCCAGGGACCAACACACAGCCUACCCAGGCUCAAGAGACAGGCUAGGGCUGUCCUCCACUACACUCUGCCCACCCAACCCGUCCCGGACUGGCCGAGGUCUGAGAAUGACCUUCAGACACAGGGUCAAGUGAGCUGAUGAUUACUAUGUUUUCAGACAACCAGUGGUGGUGAUGGAAUAAUCAUCUCUCACAGACUGUGUCAGCAGCGUUUGUGUGCGUUGUCCAGAUAAACUCCAAAGUAUUUUAUCCUUCAGGUCUGUAUUUCUCCCUUAACUUGGGCCAUUCUGAACACUGUUUUUGAUUUUUUUCCUUGUAGUUUUUUGAUAAGUUAUAUAAAUACUUUUUAAUGCAGUUAGAAACCCACUACACUAAACUUACUUCAAAAUCACAUCGUUGUAAGUCCUGCUGCGUGUUAUUGUGAAGUUAAUUAAAAAUGGUGUUUUAUCAGUAGGUGGCAUUGUCAUACAAUUAAAGAUUGUGAGACUUAUGCUGUGCACAGUUGACCUCACACUGUGAGUCUAAGACAGUUGAGCACGCGCGUGUGAGUGCACACACACACACACUUUGAAGAUUUUAUUCUACCAGCUCUAAGAAUGUCUGACUCCAAAUGCCAAUCAGAUGAGAGCUAGACUCCUGUUGUCAUGAUGCAUACUAUCUUUUAAAGAUAUUUUAAAACCUGAGAUUUACUAAGUGGGUUGUUUCUGCUGUCUCAGCAAAUUCUCUCUUGGUGCUUAAUGUGGGUGCCAGGGCAUAGACCUUCAGGUAAAUGUAGUAGUUGUGCCUAGAUAGAACCUCCUAACUCAUGGAGCUCCCUGGGUGCUAGGUCAGAGCAGUGCACAGGAAUGGGACAGUGACCCAGUAGCCAACCUGAUAGGGAGCGACUCCCAAAGACAAGAAAGGCCCAGGGGCCGGGAGGGACUAGUAUGGCAAGCUAGGCAUCUGGAAUAGACACUGUCCCCCGGAGUAUCCAUUUGAGAUGAAGCUGAGAUACUGGGUUAGUUCUGGAGCUUAUGCAGAGUUAGGGAAGCACAGGGCGUAACCAACUCUAGGCCAAGCUGCAGACCUGUGCACCGGAGAGCUGCAGACCUGUGCACCGGAGAGCUGCAGACCUGUGCACCGGAGAGCUGCAGACCUGUGCACCGGAGAGCUGCAGACCUGUGCACCGGAGAGCUGCAGACCUGUGCACCGGAGAGCUGCAGACCUGUGCAUCGGAGAGCUGCAGACCUGUGCACCGGAGAGCUGCAGACCUGUGCACCGGAGAGCUGCAGACCUGUGCAUCGGAGAGCUGCAACCAGAUUUGUGUGUUGAGAUUCUCUCUCCAUUGGCAAGGCGGACAACUGAACAGUGCAGCGGGUGGGGAACAGGACGAGCAGUUAGGAGGCCACCAGGAUAGGGGAGCUAAGAUUCAGAGGAGGCCAUGCGUCAUGGGGAUGGGAGGUUGUGUGUGUGUGUGUGUGUGUGUGUGUGUGUGUGUGUGUGUGUGAUCAUUAAA